Molecule: ribosomal RNA, 766 nt
Filed under: uncultured Lactarius
Lineage: Eukaryota; Fungi; Basidiomycota; Agaricomycetes; Russulales; Russulaceae
Description: partial 28S ribosomal RNA
Rfam family: Eukaryotic large subunit ribosomal RNA
Source: RNAcentral
GAAUCCCGUCUUUGGCACGGAUGCCUGGUGCUUCUGUGAUGCGCUCUCGAAGAGUCGAGUUGUUUGGGAAUGCAGCUCAAAAUGGGUGGUGAACUCCAUCUAAAGCUAAAUACUGGCGAGAGACCGAUAGCGAACAAGUACCGUGAGGGAAAGAUGAAAAGCACUUUGGAAAGAGAGUGAAACAGUACGUGAAAUUGUUGAAAGGGAAACGCUUGAAGUCAGUCACGUCGACCGAGACUCAGCCUUGCCUUGGCUUGGUGUACUUCUCGGCCCGACGGGUCAGCAUCAAUUUUGCCCUUCGGAUAAUGGCGGGGGAAAGGUGGCACCUUUACGGGUGUGUUAUAGUCUCUUGUCGCAUGCGAGGGGUGGGAUUGAGGAACUCAGCGCGCACCUCAGUGUCGGGGCUUCGGCCCACGUCACGCGCUUAGGAUGUUGGCGUAAUGGCUUUAAACGACCCGUCUUGAAACACGGACCAAGGAGUCUAACAUGCCCGCGAGUGUUCGGGUGGAAAACCCGUGCGCGCAAUGAAAGUGAAAGUUGGGACCUCUGUCGCGGAGGGCACCGACGCCCGGACCAGAGCUUCUGCGACGGAUCUGCGGUGGAGCGUGUAUGUUAGGACCCGAAAGAUGGUGAACUAUGCCUGAAUAGGGUGAAGCCAGAGGAAACUCUGGUGGAGGCUCGUAGCGAUUCUGACGUGCAAAUCGAUCGUCAAAUUUGGGUAUAGGGGCGAAAGACUAAUCGAACCAUCUAGUAGCUGGUUCCUGCC